This 227-nucleotide ribosomal RNA is filed under the name uncultured bacterium. Its description in RNAcentral is "partial 16S ribosomal RNA". It matches the Rfam family "Bacterial small subunit ribosomal RNA", at positions 15 to 236 of the family's 1533-position model. The record is from RNAcentral.
GAUCAUGGCUCAGGAUGAACGCUGGCGGCGUGCUUAACACAUGCAAGUCGAACGAUUGAAGCUGGAGCUUGCUCCGGCCGAUUUAGUGGCGGACGGGUGAGUAACGCGUGGGUAACCUGCUUCAUACAGGGGGAUAGCAGUUGGAAACGACUGGUAAAACCGCAUAAGCGCACGGUGUCGCAUGACACAGUGUGAAAACACUCCGGUGGCAUGAGAUGGACCCGCGU